CUCAUUAUCUCAUUCUCUCUCUCCCACUUUCUCACUCUCAUUCUCUCACACUCUCGACCUACAUUUUUCCGAUGAUAAAAAGCAAUUUUUCAACAAGCUUAAAACAGUAAUUCGGUGAGCUUGAUUUUAAAAAUAGCCAAAGGUACGGCAACAUAAUCACCACAAGGUUCAAGCCAAGCACCUCAAUGCUACCACCAUGACCGAACAAUAUUAUGGAACUCGGUAAAUUUUAAGAUUAUUUUUUUUGUUCUUUUAAAUAUAUUUUUGUGUUUUUUUUAUAACUAUGAGUUAAAUGAGAAUUUGUCAAUACUAACGUACAUGAGAAUCAGUUUUUAGUUUUAGCUAAAAUUACAAUGGACAUUUUAGUAUUUCCUACUUCUACAAUUGCAUCCGAGUCCUUUUUUAGGGUCGUAAUAAAAGAUCAAGUCUUGCCCCAGACAUCGUAAAUAUAUUAGUUUGAAAUAAGAUUGGGAUCAAGUUACAAAAAGACAACAAAAAAGAAAAGAAGAUGACUCGGAAGAAAAGGAAGAUGUUUGGAUGAUAAUGGAUAUUUCAUCGGAAUUGGGCUGCCUGAACAAGAAUAUUUUUGUUUUGUAUUUGUAUAACUCGAAUAGUGGAUAGAUAGAAUAUUUUUGUUUUGUAUUUUUAAAUUUUGUUUGAUUGAUAUUUUGUUUUAAAGUAUAUGCGUUUUCUUCCAUCUUUCAGAGAGGAGUUCUCUCAAAUUAUUUGUAAUUUUUCCAAAAUUAAUAGAGGUAUCGUCCUCUUUUAUUUAUUACAUAAAAAAUUAAUAAAAACUAAUUAAUAUCCGUUUUAUUUAUUACAUAAUAAAUUUAUAAAACUAAUUAAUAUAUAGUUAUAUUCACAGUAUUUAAAGAAAAAUUGUAAAUCGCUCAACUCGCCCAACUCGUCUAGUUAUACGCGAGUAGAGCUAAUCCGGACUCGUCUCGCUUCAGCUCUUCUCGCCAAAAACUCGUCUCGGCUCGUCAAAUGCAUCAUGUCUGGCUACGUCUACUUUGAUGUUUGUUUAUAUCUGGUCUCGAAACGAUCCGAGGCUGAACUUUUAAAACUCAGUUGGAUAUCAAACAAGAAUUUCUACUAAUCUGAAAGACGACAUGAAACUCGAAAUCAAAGUGUUACUAAUUUUUCUCUCCUUGAUUUAGCCUCUUGUUGGACAUUUAUAAUCAAUUUGUGAGUUCUUGUUCGGCCUUAAUAUUGAUCUUCUCCUUGUAUUUUUGAAUAGUAUGUCUUUGUAUGUCAAAUCUGAAGACAAAGGGGAUAUUUUCAAUCAAAACUUGACGGUAAAAACUAGCAGCUUUUUCGUGCUAAGUUUUCAUAGGACUAGACACAAAUUGACAUGGCUAUUAUGUCAAACUGGAUUAUAGGUUGAUAAAUGAGCAAAAAAGAAUAUAUUGAAUGGCCUUACUAGCUAACUGAAAAAACCAGAUUGCAAUAAGUUGCGGUACAAGCUACAAACCAAACUACUAGCAAUACUUAAGAAUCUUUUUCUCAAUACAUCAAAUAUAGAGACUUGGAUUCUGAUUUAUGCAUCUGAAACAACAAACUGAAGCAUGCAUAUCGAUGAUCUCCGUCUUCCUUUCCGUUCCCUGAAUCUAAAAUAGGCAGCAACAUCGCUGCAAAAGGAUAAACACAGAUCAAACAUAUGAAUUAGAGGUUCAUUUAAAAGUUUAUUGUACAACUUAAGCACUUGUUAACACAUACUCAUAGUACUAUAGUAGUAUACUCCCUCUGUCCCAACUAUUUUUUUUACAGUUUCCUUUUUGGGAUGUGCCCAAACCAAAUGUAAAGAAUUGACUAGGACGGAGGGAGUACAAAUUAAUGAUAUAUAUAUUACAUGUUUCGAGCUGGACUGCAAAAUAUGAAUCGAAUUGGAAUAAUACCUUUGAUCUGGUAUCUUUGGUCUGAGUGUUUGGCAUAUUGGCAGGUUGAUUAGGAACUAUAGGAAAUUUGGAGGCUGCUAUUUGUUUCUCUUCUUUGACUUUAUUGAAAAUUACAGUGAAUCCGUCUCCUGAUGUAGGGUCUCGUUCAUCCCAUUGCCCGAACAUGGGUACUGAUGCUGAUCUAGUGGACUGGAUUCCGGAAAAAAGUUUAAAGAUUAAAAGGAAUGAAAAUAGAUAAUCAACAAGAAGAAGUCUGGCUCUGUUGUUAAAAUUUGAACAAGUUAAAAAGAGAAGGGAAUUUUUGCUUACAAAAUCAUCGUACAGAUUAUGUCCGUUUCUCAGUCUGUUAGGCCCUGGCGAAGGAGGAUAGAAACUAAUAUUGUCAAUGCUGUUUUUCUUCCUUUCAG
This 2305-nucleotide long non-coding RNA is filed under the name Daucus carota (carrot). Its description in RNAcentral is "long non-coding RNA (DCAR_LNC000893)". The record is from RNAcentral. Lineage: Eukaryota; Viridiplantae; Streptophyta; Magnoliopsida; Apiales; Apiaceae.